Molecule: unclassified non-coding RNA, 299 nt
Organism: Callithrix jacchus (white-tufted-ear marmoset)
Lineage: Eukaryota; Metazoa; Chordata; Mammalia; Primates; Cebidae
Rfam family: Metazoan signal recognition particle RNA
About the family: The signal recognition particle (SRP) is a universally conserved ribonucleoprotein.
Source: Ensembl
GCUGGUUGCGGUGGCACACGCCUGUAGUCCCAGCUACUCGGGAGGCUGAGGAGGUAGGAUCGCUUGAGCCCCGGAAUUCUGGGCUGUAGUGCGCUAUGCUGAUCAGGUGUCCCACUGAGUUCGGCAUCAAUAUGGUGACCUCCCAGGAGCAAGGGACUGCUAGGUUGCCUAAGGAGAGGUGAACCAGCCCAGGUUGGAAACAGAGCAGGUCAAAACUCCUGUGCUGAUCAGUAGUGGGAUCACGCCUGUGAAUAGCCACUGCACUCCAGCCUGGGCAACAUAGAGAGACCCUGUCUCUA